GCAUUGGAAAAGUUUCCCUGCAAUAUGUCCUCUCAGUGGCUGAGAGGAAGCUUUGUCAUAUUCUCUGCGGGAAAGAGCUGUAUGGAAGCAUUCUCCUGGGCCUCUACAGUGAAAUCUGUCAACAUUGGCAGCCCUGGACUUCCAUAAGCUGUGACUAUGAGCUGUGAGAGGGGAUAGACUUAUCUACUGAUGGUGAAAAUUUGCCCUGGUGGGUGUCACUGCUCAGGCCCUCUCAGUCACCGGCUGUUCGCCAUCGCUGCUCAUUAAAAGGCUGAGUGCUCCAAAAACUCAGCUAGUCGGACUGUCUGUUUCAUUCAGUCUAUUAACAUUGUCCUUCAUGUGCUGAAAGCUCUUUUUGCUUCCAUUAUAUUAUAUCCACAUGGUGAAGAUCAAAGGAUUGGACAUGUUGUAUUUGUACCACUAUUUUGAUCUGUAAUCCAACACAUUAAAGAUUUGUGGCUUCUACAAAACCACACAGUCCUUCCCAGAUACUAACGCUGCAUUAUUAAAAUUACAUCAUUGCUGUUAUUUCAAUUUUCAGUUCAAUAGGUUUCAUGCCCUCUAAACCUCAGUUUCA
Molecule: long non-coding RNA, 577 nt
Organism: Thunnus maccoyii (southern bluefin tuna)
Lineage: Eukaryota; Metazoa; Chordata; Actinopteri; Scombriformes; Scombridae
Exons: 3
Source: RefSeq, a predicted model, not a curated record